This 328-nucleotide unclassified non-coding RNA is filed under the name Hevea brasiliensis (rubber tree). The record is from RNAcentral. Lineage: Eukaryota; Viridiplantae; Streptophyta; Magnoliopsida; Malpighiales; Euphorbiaceae.
UAUAACGAUCUUGAGAAUAAGAGAUGUGGCUGUCAUUAUUGUCUGGUAUUUUCUCCAGUAUCUGUCUCGCUAUGGCGCUGGCGUUGGUCGCCGUCGUAGUAAACUCUGCCAGAACCACGGAUCCCCUAGCCACCAGCGCGUAUAAGAUCGCCAUAUUAGGGAUCUAACAAUCAAUUGAAAGGUGUUUUGAUCGAUCAAUUUCAAUAUUUAAACCUAAUUGAAGACAAAGGGCACAAAAUAAAAAAUUAAAAAAAAUCUCUGCACAAUUGGCUGAAAAGCGAAUUAAAUCGCACGAUUUGGCAAACUUUUGCACUGGGACUGCUUGCAA